GUGGGGAAUAUUGGGCAAUGGACGCAAGUCUGACCCAGCAACGCCGCGUGAAGGAAGAAGGCUUUCGGGUUGUAAACUUCUUUUAAGGGGGAAGAGCAGAAGACGGUACCCCUUGAAUAAGCCACGGCUAACUACGUGCCAGCAGCCGCGGUAAUACGUAGGUGGCAAGCGUUGUCCGGAUUUACUGGGUGUAAAGGGCGUGCAGCCGGGCCGACAAGUCAGAUGUGAAAUCCGCGGGCUUAACCCGCGAACUGCAUUUGAAACUAUUGGUCUUGAGUACCGGAGAGGUCAUCGGAAUUCCUUGUGUAGCGGUGAAAUGCGUAGAUAUAAGGAAGAACACCAGUGGCGAAGGCGGAUGACUGGACGGCAACUGACGGUGAGGCGCGAAAGCGUGGGGAGCAAACAGG
RNAcentral lists this ribosomal RNA (407 nucleotides) under uncultured bacterium. RNAcentral describes it as "bacterial SSU rRNA". It matches the Rfam family "Bacterial small subunit ribosomal RNA", at positions 354 to 776 of the family's 1533-position model. The record is from RNAcentral.